AAAGACUUAGUCCUAACCUUACCGUUAAUUUUUGCUAAAUAUAUACAUGCAAGUAUCUGCGACCCAGUGUAAAUGCCCAUGACCCCUUACUAAGAAAAAAGGAGCGGGUAUCAGGCACACUUAAAUUGUAGCCCAAGACGCCUUGCUUAGCCACACCCCCACGGGUACACAGCAGUAAUUAACAUUAAGCAAUAAGUGAAAACUUGACUUAGUUAUAGCAACUUAAGGGUUGGUAAAUCUUGUGCCAGCCACCGCGGUCAUACAAGAAGCCCAAAUUAACUGUACACGGCGUAAAGAGUGGUAUCAUGCUAUCGUAAUAUCUAAGACCAAGGUGCAACUAAGCUGUCAUAAGCUCAAGAUGCAUUCAAGCUCUCCUUAACUAAAAACGAUCUUAGUAUCGAGAUAUAUUUAAUUCCACGAAAGCUAGGGCUCAAACUGGGAUUAGAUACCCCACUAUGCUUAGCCAUAAAUCUUGAUGUCUUCCACAUACUUAGACAUCCGCCAGAGAACUACGAGCACAAACGCUUAAAACUCUAAGGACUUGGCGGUGCCCCAAACCCACCUAGAGGAGCCUGUUCUAUAAUCGAUAACCCACGUUACACCCGGCCACUCCUUGCCAAAAGCAGCCUACAUACCGCCGUCGCCAGCUCACCUCCAAUGAGAGCUAUACAGUGAGCACAAUAGUCCACAACCCGCUAACAAGACAGGUCGAGGUAUAGCUAAUGGAGUGGAAGAAAUGGGCUACAUUUUCUAACAAUAGAUAACCAUACGGACGGGGGCAUGAAACCGGCCCCCCGAAGGCGGAUUUAGCAGUAAAGCUGGACAAUACAAGCCUACUUUAAACUGGCCCUGGGGCACGUACAUACCGCCCGUCACCCUCCUCACAGGCUACAAUCAUCAUAAUACAUAAUACGAAUUAGAGCUGAAGACGAGGUAAGUCGUAACAAGGUAAGUGUACCGGAAGGUGCACUUAGCAUAC
This 979-nucleotide ribosomal RNA is filed under the name Scolopax mira (Amami woodcock). RNAcentral's name for it is "12S rRNA". It matches the Rfam family "Bacterial small subunit ribosomal RNA". The record is from RNAcentral. Lineage: Eukaryota; Metazoa; Chordata; Aves; Charadriiformes; Scolopacidae.